Long non-coding RNA from Zea mays, 1241 nucleotides. RefSeq lists it as uncharacterized. The record is from RefSeq and is marked validated. The transcript has 3 exons. Lineage: Eukaryota; Viridiplantae; Streptophyta; Magnoliopsida; Poales; Poaceae.
GAGUCCUUGCUUAUCCCCUGCGCAUAGGAAGCCAGCUCCCUCACGUUGCCUCAUCCCUAGACGCGCUCGCCCAGAUCGAGCGUCGUCGCUCAGCUCGCCCAGCCCUCCCCAUCCUUCUCUAGCCAUGGUGCUGCUCCCAGUCUUCUGCUCGCCCCUGCCCUCAGCCUUGGCGUCUGGCCGCCACUACCCCAGCUUUCCAUGGCGGCAUUUUCUGCUUCCUGGUGGCCGACGCCCUCCCUAAACUGAGCACCGCCGUCAACUGCGCCUUGGCGCUAAUCCUCCCCAACCUCUUCUUUGCCGGUGGUCGUCUCCAGCCCCUUCCAUGGCACCUAGUUUUAUUCCCAUGGCGAGCUCGCCCAAGCAAUCACCUCCAUCACAGGUGAUGUUUUCCCCUUCCCUUUCCUCAAGUUUGGUUCUCGGUGCCCAAGUUUUUGUGUCCCUGCAGCUCGCCGUGCCUGCGCAGCCCCGACAACGACUCCCUCUUCUGCGUCGCGCCAUUGACCCGCUCGAUGGAAUGCCGCAGCGAGCUCUACCCGAUCUGCAACGCCUGCGCGCCGUCGUCGAAAUCCCCGCAACCGUGUUGGUCCGCAACAACACAUCGUCGAUCUGCAAUCCCUAGCCUUGUGGUCGACCUUGGUGAGCCCCUCGCCGUUCCACACCCCUCGAUUCGUUAAAUACCAAAUCAAUAAAAUGUGCAUUUAAAUAUGUGUGUCAAUCACAGCCCUCCGUCGAUGUCCUGCCUUGCGCAUCGCUUGCUCAACGAAAGCCUCACUCGUGAACGACAUGCGCGACUCAUCCGAUCCCGCCAGGUACGCUAGAUGAUUAUGCGAAUUGGAGGGCAUGGAUCAGGAUGGAUCACAAGGUGGCUUUGAUGGACCCAUCUCGAUAUGGACGACUUGAUCAAGUGUCAGGAUUGUUGAUGCUCGCCAAGCGGACUUCAUCUAACCACACUAACCUAGUGUAUCCCAGGUUGUAAUUUUGUUCUGUUGUGGAUGGUGCUAAGUGCCGGUAGGCUCGGCCUUCUUAUAUAAGUAUAUCCCAUCUUUAGCUUCCCUAUUGAGGAUUGUCACUUAAGCUAGCAUGUAUUUUAAAACUUAUAAAUGUUUUAUACAUUCAAAUUGUAAUCUUUUUGAAUCAAUUUCUUUUGUAAUCAACUCCGAUGAUAUAUAUUGUAAUCUUGUUAUAACUUGUAAAUGUUGUAACUUGUAAUCAUUUUGUAAUAAAGAAUUUAUUUCCGCUGC